GAUGACAAUAUGAGCUGCAGCAAAAAGCUCGUAGAAGAAGACGUAUUUUUCUCCCACAGUUCUCUGCGGUAGUAAAGUGACCUCUGCUGCUAGCUGUUAGCGGUUAGCAUCCUUCAAAACAAUGGCUCCUCCAGUCGCAGUAUCGCCUUUAAUUAAGACAGCCAGGUAUUCAGCCUUGAUCGCUGGCAUCAUCUAUGGCAAAAAGAGAUAUGAUUACCUGAAGCCUAUUGCUGCUGAGGAGAGGAGGAUUGAGGAGGAGGAGAAAAAGGUCCGUGAGGAACAGGAGCGGAUUGCCAAGCAGCUAGCAGAAGCAAAUGAAGACACCAUUCUAAAGUAAACCUGCUUCGCUCUUUGAGGAUGACUACGUCCAUGUGCACUUUCCAACCCUCUCCCUCCUUUUUCUGGAGUAAUGACGACAAAGUUGGUCACACUCAAACCCUCCCAUGUUGUGGAUGGGAUUACUGUUCACCUUUAGUAAUGCAACAACUUUAUGGACCAUCGGAUACAAUGAUUUAAAUGUCUGUGGCAUUAUAGGAUGUUAGGUUCAAGCAUUGUAAGUGAUUAAGUACAUGUUCGUAAAGGAACAAUGAAAGAACAGCUGUAAUAUUGCCACAAUAAAUUGUUCUGGAUAAUAAAAA
Long non-coding RNA from Betta splendens (Siamese fighting fish), 638 nucleotides. RefSeq lists it as uncharacterized. The record is from RefSeq and is a predicted model, not a curated record. The transcript has 4 exons. NCBI's taxonomy places the organism in Eukaryota, Metazoa, Chordata, Actinopteri, Anabantiformes, Osphronemidae.